RNAcentral lists this ribosomal RNA (428 nucleotides) under uncultured bacterium. RNAcentral describes it as "bacterial SSU rRNA". It matches the Rfam family "Bacterial small subunit ribosomal RNA", at positions 918 to 1341 of the family's 1533-position model. The record is from RNAcentral.
GACCUGCACAAGUGGUGGAACAUGCGGUUUAAUUCGAUGCUACGCGAAGAACCUUACCAACUCUUGACAUGGUGGUCGCGAGAUACAGAAAUGUAUCUUUUCAGUUCGGCUGGACCACACACAGGUGUUGCAUGGCCGUCGUCAGCUCGUGUUGUGAGAUGUUAGGUUAAGUCCUGCAACGAGCGCAACCCCUAUCCUUAUUUGCCAGCGGGUUAAGCCGGGAACUAUAAGGAAACUGCCAGCGACAAGCUGGAGGAAGGUGGGGAUGAAGUCAGGUCAGCAUGGCCCUUAUGGGUUGGGCUACACGCGUGUUACAAUGAUAAUUACAAAGGGAAGCGAGAGAGCGAUCUGGAGCGAAUCCCAAAAAAGUUAUCUUAGUUCGGAUUGCACCCUGCAACUCGGGUGCAUGAAGUUGGAAUCACUAGUAA